UUUGCGCAAUGGGCGAAAGCCUGACGCAGUAACGCCGUGUGGAGGAUGAAGGCCCUCGGGUUGUAAACUCCUGUCAGGAGGAACGAAGGUAGUAAGGUAAAUAGCCUUACUCUCUGACAGUACCUUCAAAGGAAGCCCCGGCUAAUUCCGUGCCAGCAGCCGCGGUAAUACGGAAGGGGCAAGCGUUGUUCGGAAUUAUUGGGCGUAAAGGGCGCGUAGGCGGCCUUGUAUGUCUGCUGUAAAAGCACACAGCUCAACUGUGUAACGUCAGUGGAAACUGCAAGGCUUGAGGUUGGGAGAGGCUGGUGGAAUUUCCCUGUGUAGCGGUGGAAUGCGUAGAUAUAGGGGAGAACACUCGUGGCGAAGGCGGCCAGCUGGACCAGACCUGACGCUGAGGUGCGAUAGCGUGGGGAGCAAACAGGAUUAGAUACCCUGGUAGUCCACGCUGUAAAACGAUGGGNCACUAGGUGUUGGCGGUAUUGAUUUCCGUCGGCGCCGGC
RNAcentral lists this ribosomal RNA (500 nucleotides) under uncultured bacterium. RNAcentral's name for it is "bacterial SSU rRNA". It matches the Rfam family "Bacterial small subunit ribosomal RNA", at positions 363 to 850 of the family's 1533-position model. The record is from RNAcentral.